CUAAUUUCAUUCUAAUCCCAGUUUUCAGAAACUCUCGUUCUAAACCCCAGUUUUCAACAAAUUUCACCGAAAACGGAAUCGAAGAAGAAAGCCGCAUCAGAAUUUUCAACGAAUUUCUGAGUUCUUCUCACAGAGAAUCCAAACUCAGUUUCAUCGCAUUUCACCAAACCCUUUUCACCAUCGCAGUGACGACAACGAAGCUGAAGAAUGUUCACCAUCGCUCAUUUCACAGGACGACAUCGCAUUGGUAAAGCGAAGGGUGAGAAUAAGGGUUAUUGUUGUGGGUUUUGCAGGGUGUGAAUCUCGGUUGUGCAAUGGUGUGAAAUGGGUUAUUUGCUGCAGAUGAAAAAAUCUCCAUGUUCUCUGUGUUGUCUGGUCAAUUAUACAGUGAAAGGAACCCUAACUUGUACGUGUGAAGCUAGAGAAAAGUUAGGGAGUGGGAAUGAACUGAGUGGUUAGGUUCACAACUUGAGCUCAUGAGGAGUGAGUUGGAUGAAACUCCUACUUUUCAGGGAAUUUUCAAAGUGUGUACCGUUGUACUGAUGAGGUGGAUUAUUAAGUCACAAUUGAAUCAUGUUUUUCUGUUUCUGCAGGUUUUCAUGUGGUCUGGUGCUGGUCUUUUGGCAUGUGCUCUCAAUCGCAGAGAUAAGUUCCUUUGCAUCUGCAGGUUCUCAAAGGAAGCCUCAAGAACAAAGGCAAUAACGGGAAAAGCUUGGACAAUUGCGAAUGUGUAUUUUAUGAAGAUGUUGAAGGCUCACAAGAUGUUCGGAAUCCAACCGUAUCUGCAUUAACUUUUGGCAAAUCGACCAAUUUAAGGUCUUCUAACCAGGACAUAACUUGUUGCCAUUCUUACUAAGGAAUCCCUUCAUUUGUGAAAUGCUUUUAAUUUUGGAUCCGUUCUCUAUAGUAACAGACCUCUCUCGUUAUUCACAUCACAGAGAAAGAUGGCUUGCCGGCAGUUAUGGGCUUCAAGAGCUGCAUCAUACCUCAGGAUCUCUGUCUUUCACAGAAGUUUCUCUAAUGGCUUGAAUGUAGGAGAUGGACUACAAUAAUCAAGGAGCGAUUUUCUAAACUUUUAGAAAAUCUGUCUUUGUUAUCCAAGUGAGAACAAUGAAAAAUAAUGGCAACAACACUCCUAGCAGCAACUGUCUCCCCAGCAUGAAUGUUUGAUGAUGCUGUUGACUCUUCUGGAAAUCUUCCAGACUCACUGGAUAUUGGUGAUGUUUCAGAGCCUGCAUUUCCAGCUAAUUCUCCUUCAUCAAACCAGAAGAAUGCGACAGCUGAAGCCAAUACUUCAUUUGGUCACUUGUGAAUUGAUUUCCAAAUGUGAACGGUGAAUUGUUUUUCUACCCAAGAAUUUGUGUGCAGACUAAUAGCAUAUGUCAUUUUGUGUGCUGACCAAUAGCAUAUGUCAUUUUGUAUUAAUAAAACUACCACCUUCUUUCUAGCAGGCUCACACUCGGCUCUCGGCUGUGGCCUAUAAAUAGUUGUGAACAAGAAAAUAUUUGACUCUGUAAGGACUCAGAUAAAAAUUUGUGUAUUUUUAUCUACUAUGAAAUUCAAAAGGGAUGAAGGAAAUCAAAUUAAAUUGUCUCUGGAUUUUUUAUUAUUGAAUGAUGUAAUUUUGUUAAUCAGCUGGAAUGGAUUGAGUUUUUUGGUUGACUUGAUCUAGCUUAACUCAUGAUAACCUGAAUAUUUGUGUGGAUUUCUUCAAUGUCCAGUUGUUUGUUUCUAGUUAAAGCAUAUGAAAUAUUAUGAUUUCAUAUGACUUCUUUAUACAUCAAAAUAUGAAGAAAUGUGAUAAUUAAAAUAAGGUGUAAUAUAGCAUAUGAA
Molecule: long non-coding RNA, 1833 nt
Organism: Vicia villosa (hairy vetch)
Lineage: Eukaryota; Viridiplantae; Streptophyta; Magnoliopsida; Fabales; Fabaceae
Exons: 6
Source: RefSeq, a predicted model, not a curated record